This 279-nucleotide unclassified non-coding RNA is filed under the name plant metagenome. RNAcentral describes it as "partial contains small subunit ribosomal RNA, internal transcribed spacer 1, and 5.8S ribosomal RNA". The record is from RNAcentral.
UUUCCGUAGGUGAACCUGCGGAAGGAUCAUUACCGAGCGAGGGCCCUCUGGGUCCCACCUCCCACCCGUGUCUCUUGUAGCACGUUUCUUCCGCGGUCCCGCCUCACACCCUCCUGGGUGCAUCUCGCCCCCCUGCCCGCGCUCGCCCACGACACCCCCCAACCCUGUCUGAAGACAACAGUCUUAGUGAAAUGUUAAAUUAUUUAAAAUUUUCAACAAAGGAUUCAUCGGUUCCGGCAUCGGUGAAGAACGCAGCAGAUCAGAAAAGCACACGUAUGA